GAUUUAUAGAUGCAAGGAACAAAUCGAGAAAAAGGUACUCAAUUGGUGCUAUAUUUUGGCUUUUUACGCUUCUUUUGUUGGGUUGUUCAAUAGUUGAGCUUCUCAGAAAUGUGUAUUGGCCAAUAG
Non-coding RNA from Arabidopsis thaliana (thale cress), 126 nucleotides. The record is from RefSeq. NCBI's taxonomy places the organism in Eukaryota, Viridiplantae, Streptophyta, Magnoliopsida, Brassicales, Brassicaceae.